ACGUAGGGGGCAAGCGUUGUCCGGAAUUAUUGGGCGUAAAGCGCGCGCAGGCGGCUGUUUAAGUCUGGUGUUUAAGCCCGGGGCUCAACCCCGGUUCGCACUGGAAACUGGGCAGCUUGAGUGCAGGAGAGGAAAGUGGAAUUCCACGUGUAGCGGUGAAAUGCGUAGAGAUGUGGAGGAACACCAGUGGCGAAGGCGACUUUCUGGCCUGUAACUGACGCUGAGGCGCGAAAGCGUGGGGAGCAAACAGGA
This 252-nucleotide ribosomal RNA is filed under the name uncultured prokaryote. Its description in RNAcentral is "partial 16S ribosomal RNA". It matches the Rfam family "Bacterial small subunit ribosomal RNA", at positions 525 to 777 of the family's 1533-position model. The record is from RNAcentral.